Molecule: transfer RNA, 90 nt
Filed under: compost metagenome
Description: tRNA-Ser
Rfam family: tRNA
About the family: Transfer RNA (tRNA) molecules are approximately 80 nucleotides in length. Their secondary structure includes four short double-helical elements and three loops (D, anti-codon, and T loops).
Source: RNAcentral
GGAGAAGUGUCUGAGUGGCUUAAGGUUCCUGAUUGCUAAUUAGGUGUGCUUGAAAAAGCACCAAGGGUUCGAAUCCCUUCUUCUCCGCCA